AAGUCGUAACAAGGUAACCGUAGGUGAACCUGCGGUUGGAUCAUUACUGAAUUUGAGGCCAAAUUCGCAGGGUGUGUGCGGCGCAAGUCGUGUGCACGCUGAGUCUUUGUGCUGAAAAUGGGCGUCGAGUCUGGGUCACUCCAGGCCCGUCACCCAACCCCACCUUUUGUGCAACGUACGUAUUUGGCGGGAGCCUUUUGGCAAUGGACGCGUGGGUCAAACUGCGCGCCCUUUGCCAGCUGAGCAUUGCGGACCAAGUAUUGUCCGACCGCCAAGCCCCUUUCUAUACCAAUGCCUUACUAAAAGCACCUAACGUCUAAUUGCAUGCAAAGCGUCUCUCAUUCUUUCGAGGGUGUGAGCGUCGAGUAAUGUGAAGCAACGAAAAACAACUUUUGACAACGGAUCUCUUGGCUCUC
Molecule: unclassified non-coding RNA, 416 nt
Filed under: fungal sp.
Lineage: Eukaryota; Fungi
Description: partial internal transcribed spacer region
Rfam family: Eukaryotic small subunit ribosomal RNA (bases 1-46)
Source: RNAcentral